AUUGAACGCUGGCGGCAGGCUUAACACAUGCAAGUCGAGCGAGCGGCGGACGGGUGAGUCAUGUCUGGGCAACUGCCUGAUGGAGGGUGAUAAUUACUGGAAACGGUAGCUAAUACCGCAUACCCUCAGAUGUGCCCAGCUGGGAUUAGUUAGUCGUUGGGGUAAUGGCUCACCUAGGCGACGAUCCCUAGCUGGUCUGAGAGGAGGACCAGCCACACUGGGACUGAGACACGGGCCAGACUCCUACGGGAGGCAGCAGGGGGGAAUAUUGCACAAUGGGCGGAAGCCUGAUGCAGCCAUGCCGCGUGAGUGAAGAAGGCCUUCGGGUGGUAAAGCACUGUCAGCGAGGAGGCGUUACUCACAGAAAAAGCACCGGCUAACUCCGUGCCAGCAGCCGCGGUAAUAC
RNAcentral lists this ribosomal RNA (406 nucleotides) under uncultured bacterium. RNAcentral describes it as "partial 16S ribosomal RNA". It matches the Rfam family "Bacterial small subunit ribosomal RNA", at positions 30 to 526 of the family's 1533-position model. The record is from RNAcentral.